This 255-nucleotide ribosomal RNA is filed under the name Triticum aestivum (bread wheat). RNAcentral's name for it is "partial small subunit ribosomal RNA". The record is from RNAcentral. Lineage: Eukaryota; Viridiplantae; Streptophyta; Magnoliopsida; Poales; Poaceae.
CCAAAAAGUGAAGGAGGUAUGGGGUUUAGAGACAUAUGUUCUUUUAAUCUUGCAAUGCUAACUAAGCAAUGGUGAAGACUUAUUACAACUCCUAAAUCACUUUGUACCUGAGCUCGAAAGGCCAAAUACUUCCCACAUGGAAGUCUCUUGCAAGUCUCUUUAAAAAAGGAAUCUUUAUUUACUUGGCAGAGCAUCAUGAAAGGACUUGAUGUUUUCAAAAAAGGGCUAUAUCUAGAGAGUGGGCAAUGGGAAUGA